This 589-nucleotide ribosomal RNA is filed under the name Entamoeba bovis. RNAcentral's name for it is "SSU rRNA". It matches the Rfam family "Eukaryotic small subunit ribosomal RNA", at positions 34 to 595 of the family's 1831-position model. Lineage: Eukaryota; Evosea; Mastigamoebida; Endamoebidae. The record is from RNAcentral.
UUGUUGAUCCCCUCCAGUAUUAUAUGCUGAUGUUAAAGAUUAAGCCAUGCAUGUGUAAGUUUAAAGACCAAGUAGGAUGAAACUGCGGACGGCUCAUUAUAACAGUAAUAGUUUCUUUGGUUAGUCGGUACAAGGAUAACUUUGUGAAUGAUAAAGCUAAUACUUGAGACGAUCCGGGAAGUAUUUAUACUUUCCGGCCCUCGGCCGCGAGGUUGGGGAGAAACGACAUUCUCUUGUGAAAAAGGAUGCCGCGACAAUUGAGGAAAGCGACGCUUUUAACAAGUAACCAAUGGGAAUUUCUGAUCUAUCAAUUUGUUGGUAGUAUCGAGGACUACCAAGAUUAUAACGGAUAACGAGGAAUUGGGGUUCGACAUCGGAGAGGGAGCUUUACAGAUGGCUACCACUUCUAAGGAAGGCAGCAGGCGCGUAAAUUACCCACUUUCGACUCGAAGAGGUAGUGACGACAAAUAACUCUUGGCGCCCCUCGGGGUGACUUGAAGGAAUGAUUUAGAAGUAAAUUCUCUAAAGAAAUCAAUUGGAGGGCAAGUCUGGUGCCAGCAGCCGCGGUAAUUCCACCCCCAAUUAUUGA